RNAcentral lists this ribosomal RNA (379 nucleotides) under uncultured cyanobacterium. RNAcentral describes it as "bacterial SSU rRNA". It matches the Rfam family "Bacterial small subunit ribosomal RNA", at positions 376 to 770 of the family's 1533-position model. The record is from RNAcentral. Lineage: Bacteria; Bacillati; Cyanobacteriota.
CGCAAGCCUGACGGAGCAACGCCGCGUGUGGGAAGAAGGCUCUUGGGCUGUAAACCACUUUUCUCAGGGAAGAAGGACUGACGGUACCUGAGGAAUAAGCCUCGGCUAACUCCGUGCCAGCAGCCGCGGUAAGACGGAGGAGGCAAGCGUUAUCCGGAAUUAUUGGGCGUAAAGCGUCCGUAGGUGGUUAUUCAAGUCUGCUGUCAAAGCGUGGGGCUUAACUCCAUAGAGGCAGUGGAAACUGGAUGACUUGAGUGCGGUAGGGGUCGAGGGAAUUCCCAGUGUAGCGGUGAAAUGCGUAGAUAUUGGGAAGAACACCAGUGGCGAAAGCGCUCGACUGGGCCUGCACUGACACUGAGGGACGAAAGCUAGGGGAGCG